Molecule: long non-coding RNA, 397 nt
Filed under: Nicotiana benthamiana
Lineage: Eukaryota; Viridiplantae; Streptophyta; Magnoliopsida; Solanales; Solanaceae
Description: long non-coding RNA (NBEN_LNC029680)
Source: RNAcentral
UUAACCACAGCUCGAAAAGCACGUUCACCUAGAUCCAAAUUAGCCACUGGUUCUGGGCUGUGGCCGACAAGUCUUUUUGAGAUCCGACGACCAGGUGUAAUUGACUUCUUAUUUCUGGAUCUUCUCGACUGCUUAGGUGUUUCUUCAUUAAUAUGUUUUUCCUGCUCAUUUUCUGGUAAUUGCUGCCCUGGGAAUAGAUCUGACAGAGGAGUUGAAACAGCUCGACUUUUUGUUUCUGGAUCUUCUCGACUGCUUAGCUUUUUCUUUAUUAAUAUGUUUUUCCUGCUCGUUUUCUGGCAAUUGCUGCUCUGGGAGUAGAUCUGACAGAGGAGUUGAAACAGCCGAUAGCCUUUCAGCAACCACACUUUCAGCAGUUAUGACUUUUGUGUCUGCAUUU